GAUGAACGCUGGCGGCGUGCCUAAUACAUGCAAGUCGAGCGAACGGACGAGAAGCUUGCUUCUCUGAUGUUAGCGGCGGACGGGUGAGUAACACGUGGAUAACCUACCUAUAAGACUGGGAUAACUUCGGGAAACCGGAGCUAAUACCGGAUAAUAUUUUGAACCGCAUGGUUCAAAAGUGAAAGACGGUCUUGCUGUCACUUAUAGAUGGAUCCGCGCUGCAUUAGCUAGUUGGUAAGGUAACGGCUUACCAAGGCAACGAUGCAUAGCCGACCUGAGAGGGGAACCGGCCCACCUGGAACUGAGACAGGGCCCAGACCCCUAGGGGGGGCACAAGUGGGAAAUUUCCCGCAAGGGGGAAAAGCCUACGGGGCAAAGCCCGGGGGGGUGAUGAGGGCUUUGGGAUGGUAAAACUUUUUUAUUGGGAAAAAAAAUAUGUGUAAGAAACGGUGCAAAUCUUGACGGUACCAAAACAGAAAGCCACGGCUAACUACGU
RNAcentral lists this ribosomal RNA (496 nucleotides) under uncultured bacterium. Its description in RNAcentral is "partial 16S ribosomal RNA". It matches the Rfam family "Bacterial small subunit ribosomal RNA", at positions 28 to 506 of the family's 1533-position model. The record is from RNAcentral.